RNAcentral lists this transfer RNA (73 nucleotides) under Penaeus chinensis. RNAcentral describes it as "tRNA-Arg". It matches the Rfam family "tRNA". From Rfam's summary of the family: Transfer RNA (tRNA) molecules are approximately 80 nucleotides in length. Lineage: Eukaryota; Metazoa; Arthropoda; Malacostraca; Decapoda; Penaeidae. The record is from RNAcentral.
GCCGCGAUGGUCCAGUGGUUAGAGCACUGGACUCCGACCCCCGUGGUCCCGAGUUCAAUUCCCGGUCGCGGCA